This 1604-nucleotide ribosomal RNA is filed under the name Salmonella enterica. RNAcentral describes it as "partial 23S ribosomal RNA". It matches the Rfam family "Bacterial large subunit ribosomal RNA", at positions 200 to 1757 of the family's 2925-position model. Lineage: Bacteria; Pseudomonadati; Pseudomonadota; Gammaproteobacteria; Enterobacterales; Enterobacteriaceae. The record is from RNAcentral.
AUCUAAGUACCCCGAGGAAAAGAAAUCAACCGAGAUUCCCCCAGUAGCGGCGAGCGAACGGGGAGGAGCCCAGAGCCUGAAUCAGCAUGUGUGUUAGUGGAAGCGUCUGGAAAGGCGCGCGAUACAGGGUGACAGCCCCGUACACAAAAGCGCAUGUGCUGUGAGCUCGAUGAGUAGGGCGGGACACGUGGUAUCCUGUCUGAAUAUGGGGGGACCAUCCUCCAAGGCUAAAUACUCCUGACUGACCGAUAGUGAACCAGUACCGUGAGGGAAAGGCGAAAAGAACCCCGGCGAGGGGAGUGAAAAAGAACCUGAAACCGUGUACGUACAAGCAGUGGGAGCACAGGUUUACCUGUGUGACUGCGUACCUUUUGUAUAAUGGGUCAGCGACUUAUAUUCUGUAGCAAGGUUAACCGUAUAGGGGAGCCGGAGGGAAACCGAGUCUUAACCGGGCGUUAAGUUGCAGGGUAUAGACCCGAAACCCGGUGAUCUAGCCAUGGGCAGGUUGAAGGUUGGGUAACACUAACUGGAGGACCGAACCGACUAAUGUUGAAAAAUUAGCGGAUGACCUGUGGCUGGGGGUGAAAGGCCAAUCAAACCGGGAGAUAGCUGGUUCUCCCCGAAAGCUAUUUAGGUAGCGCCUCGUGAAUUCAUCUCCGGGGGUAGAGCACUGUUUCGGCUAGGGGGCCAUCCCGGCUUACCAACCCGAUGCAAACUGCGAAUACCGGAGAAUGUUAUCACGGGAGACACACGGCGGGUGCUAACGUCCGUCGUGAAGAGGGAAACAACCCAGACCGCCAGCUAAGGUCCCAAAGUCAUGGUUAAGUGGGAAACGAUGUGGGAAGGCCCAGACAGCCAGGAUGUUGGCUUAGAAGCAGCCAUCAUUUAAAGAAAGCGUAAUAGCUCACUGGUCGAGUCGGCCUGCGCGGAAGAUGUAACGGGGCUAAACCAUGCACCGAAGCUGCGGCAGCGAACGUAUCACCCAAGACAACUUUACGGAGUUGACGAUUGACGGAGCGAAGCGACGUCAAAGCGUUCAUUAAAGUCGAGUUGGCUUAGGGAUACGUUCGUUGGGUAGGGGAGCGUUCUGUAAGCCUGUGAAGGUGGCCUGUGAGGGUUGCUGGAGGUAUCAGAAGUGCGAAUGCUGACAUAAGUAACGAUAAAGCGGGUGAAAAGCCCGCUCGCCGGAAGACCAAGGGUUCCUGUCCAACGUUAAUCGGGGCAGGGUGAGUCGACCCCUAAGGCGAGGCCGAAAGGCGUAGUCGAUGGGAAACGGGUUAAUAUUCCCGUACUUGGUGUUACUGCGAAGGGGGGACGGAGAAGGCUAUGUUGGCCGGGCGACGGUUGUCCCGGUUUAAGCGUGUAGGUGUGUGUUCCAGGUAAAUCCGGUUCACUUUAACACUGAGGCGUGAUGACGAGGCACUACGGUGCUGAAGCAACAAAUGCCCUGCUUCCAGGAAAAGCCUCUAAGCAUCAGGUAACAUCAAAUCGUACCCCAAACCGACACAGGUGGUCAGGUAGAGAAUACCAAGGCGCUUGAGAGAACUCGGGUGAAGGAACUAGGCAAAAUGGUGCCGUAACUUCGGGAGAAGGCACGCUGACAC